UGGGUUGGCAACCCCACCUACCCUGUCCGGCGGAGGUGAGCGCUUACUUUGGCUCUGGGAUCCGCCAGGGUCUUGCGUCAAACCGACCAGGGUUCUGCGGCCGUUUACUAAGCGUGAGACCCGGAGCAGUCACGCCACCUCCUGAGCCUCAGUGUCUUCAUCUGUAAAGUGGAGGUAGCCACUGCCUACCUCUCCAGGUUGGCCUGAGGAUAAAAGCACCCCAGGCCACCUGUUCCACCGCCACCACUGCUCCCGGAUGGAGGGAUUCGUCCUGGCCCGCAGCAGCUCGGGUGUCGAUGUCACCGAUCGGCAGGUGCCAAACUUCCUGCAACGGAAACCCAGGAAGUGCGCUGGAUGAGAACACACGCCCUUUGUCUGCCAGCUCAGAGGCUCUGCUGCCCUCCGCCCUCCCUGCCAGGCUCACAACGGCUUUCUUCUCCCUUAGAUGGCUCCAGCAGGCAAGGGGCUCAAUCUUCUAUUAGGAUGGUGGCAGCUGAGACCCUGAGUGGCAGGGAAGGGGUGGAAGAGAGGUUUGAGGGCAAGUCUGCUUGCCGGGGCGGGGGUGGCACCUCCACAGUGGAGAGCUUUGACUGAGCAGACACUGACCGGGCACCUACUGUGUGCAAUGCAUGAGUCAAGGAGCCGACGGGAUCAAAUCAGACAUGAUCAGUCCUUGUCCCCACAGUCCUUACAGGGAGAUUGGGUAGAGCAAACCAUAAAGCAAAUUAACAUAACAAUAACCAAUAGUAAAAGGUGCUAUGAAGGAAUGGACAAGGGGUCUGAGACAAAAGGGGGUGGGGUGGGUGUGGGGUGUGGGGUGUGGGGGGAAAUCCUCUCUGAGGAGGUGAGGGUUAAGCUGAGAUGGGGAGGAGCCAGUGUGAGAAUAGGGACGAAUAUUCCCAGGGAAAGGGGGCAGAAGGGAAAACAUGGGCUUUAAAGGUCAGAGGUCAGCUUGGCAGACAGCCUCAGAAGCCCCUUGGGCCUCCCAGCUCCUUCCUCCAUCCUCCAUCUUCCACCCUACCUGCUUGGAGUCAGGUCAGUCCAAUGCUUAUUUCCUGGGCGCUGCUGUGUGUGGGGCCCUGUGCUAGGCAGGGCGGGGAGAGGAGCAGCAUAGAGAAAAGGGAGCUCCCCCAUGGUGGCCGGGUCAGAUGGGGACACAGAUACAGCUGUGAGUAACAUCAGUAUCUGGGAGUGAUUCCAGCUCUGCCACUUGCCAGCCUUGGGCAAAUCACUUCUCUCUGGGCCUCAGUUUCCUCUUGCAACCGAGGGGUUGCCAACCCAGGUUUGUCCCUUGUGGCUUCAUAGCAAGAAUCUGGUGGGGUAAAUGUGGGUAAAAAUACCUGAUGCUCAGUAGGUGUUCAGAGAUGAGUUCCUUUGCUCUCCCUACCACAUGAAGGAUAGAAGUUUUAGUAAGAGGGACAAAGUUCUGAAGGGAAGGGAAGGACGUGACUUUGUCCUGCAAGAGAAUCCAAGGAACAUCCAUGGCUCCUGAUAGCCAGCACUACUUUCCCUGAUUCUGAUAACAGCACUCAGUUUCUGUUUGGGGAACCUCUCUUCCACUCUCAGUGCCUGGUGUAUACAUGACCCAUGUCCAGCCAAUCAUAGUGGCUGUUAGUUCUAAGAUCAGCUCUCUGGGCUUGUUGGCUGGCAGAAUACAAGCUUGACACCACUUUUGCCCCCCACUUGGACCACCACAGAGGACAGCAGAGCAAAGAGAUAGGAAAGAAAGAUAACUGAUUUCAUCAGCUGCUGGAUCCAGCCAUACCUGCAAUCCUACUACCAGACCUCCAGAGUCAAUGCAUUUUUUUCCCUUACUUUUUAUUUUUUAUUCUUUUGAGACAGUCUUGCUCUGUCGCCCAGACUGGAGUACAACUAUGGGCUCCC
RNAcentral lists this long non-coding RNA (1884 nucleotides) under Homo sapiens (human). RNAcentral's name for it is "PREDICTED lncRNA (TCONS_00013941)". Lineage: Eukaryota; Metazoa; Chordata; Mammalia; Primates; Hominidae. The record is from RNAcentral.